Molecule: transfer RNA, 76 nt
Filed under: Salmonella enterica subsp. enterica serovar Weltevreden
Lineage: Bacteria; Pseudomonadati; Pseudomonadota; Gammaproteobacteria; Enterobacterales; Enterobacteriaceae
Description: tRNA-Thr
Source: RNAcentral
AUUUGUCUGGCGGCAGNGGUAGAGCGCACCCUUGGUAAGGGUGAGGUCCCCAGUUCGACUCUGGGUAUCAGCACCA